Molecule: long non-coding RNA, 1785 nt
Filed under: Helianthus annuus (common sunflower)
Lineage: Eukaryota; Viridiplantae; Streptophyta; Magnoliopsida; Asterales; Asteraceae
Description: hypothetical non coding rna
Source: RNAcentral
AAAAACAAACCAAACCCAAAAACUAAUGUCUUCAAAUUUGCUAUUUACAUCAAAACCUGCAACAUGCAUGUAUACACAAGAGACACAUGAAUGUUGGAAUUAAUCUUGAUGUUUCGGAUUAUUUACGGAUCAUGAAUUACGGUCACGGGUUGCAUGUUCUAAACGGGUUUAUCCGAUAUGAAAAAUGGAUCCUCAUGAGUCAAACAGGUUAGAUGGUUUGUUAUAUGGUUGACCGAGUUUGUUGGAGAUGGAGUUAUGGAGAAGUGUACGUUGGGAGUUGUUGCUACAAAAGAGGAGUUCGUUAGGUUUUUAUUUGUACCCUUUGUUUAUUGAAUAAAGAGAGUUUCAUAAACUGAUAAACAUAUUUACGUGAGUGUGUGUAGUGUUAGUGUAGUGAUCAAAGGGACCUGAACCAACAUUUGGUAUCAGAGCAGAGUGCUCGUGAAGAAGACGGUGUAGCCGUUUUGAGAGUCGAUUCCGAGAAGGCAAGAGAGCAGCGGGUUUUGGCGGUGAUUACCGUCGACAGAAAGAAGAAGAGAAGAGGUUCUGUGUGAACCGAAUAUGGUUCUAAGUGAGCCAUGUGGAGAAGAGGUCGAGAGUUGAAGAGAAUACGGUUCUGAGUGAGCCGGGCGAAGUCAUCGAACAAGAAGAUCUUAGUGAUCGAAGAAGGGUUCUGUGUGAGCCGUAUGAAUAGGAGUUCUGAGUGAACCGAUCGGUUCUUAGUGAGCCGGUAGAAGACGAGGAAGAAGACGAUCUGUGUGAUCAAACGUACCUGCUCUGUGUGUCGCAGGCGUGAGAAAGGAGGACCAGAUCUUUGUGAUCAAAAGGAUCGAAAACCUUAGUGGUGCUGUGUGAAUCGAUCAAGGAAAAAGGAGAAUCUUAGUGAUUCCAGUAUCUAUGUGAGAAGUUUGAAGAGAUCUGUGUGAUCCGAAAAGGAAAAAAAUCUGUGUGAGGCGAAGACGACCGUUGUGGUAAAUGAAAGAACGGCGGAUCUGUGUGAUCGAUAUAAAAUCUGUGUGAUCAUUGUGUCGAUCAAGAUGUUCUGUGUGAACAAAUGGGGUGUUUUGAGUAGUGAAUGGCGAGCUUACAAAUAAUAGGGGAUCUGGUAUGAAGGUGAUAAUUACGUAAGGCCUAUAUGGUGUAUAGGCUUACUUGUGAGUGUUUAAAAGAAAGUCAAUCCAACAUGAUGAUAUGGACAAGUCAAGGCCACUGGUGGAAUAAUUACUGAGACAAUAAUCGAAGCAAAGAUGGUAUUUGCAAGUAGUUCAGCAAGGUAUUUCUUGCAGCAGGUAGCAGCAUGUUCGGGUAGUUUCGGGCAAAAUUUCGGGGCUGAAUCGGUAAUGCAAUAGUAUCGUGUUGCAGUGGAAUGGGGCUGCUAAAGGCGAGUGUGCAAGAAACUGAACCUGUGUGGUUCAUUGUAAGGAGCAAGUAGCAAGAACGAGGAUCAAGAUUAAGGGGGUGAAUGUUGGAAUUAAUCUUGAUGUUUCGGAUUAUUUACGGAUCAUGAAUUACGGUCACGGGUUGCAUGUUCUAAACGGGUUUAUCCGAUAUGAAAAAUGGAUCCUCAUGAGUCAAACAGGUUAGAUGGUUUGUUAUAUGGUUGACCGAGUUUGUUGGAGAUGGAGUUAUGGAGAAGUGUACGUUGGGAGUUGUUGCUACAAAAGAGGAGUUCGUGGGUUUUUAUGCAUGUGACUUUAUAUGUAUUUUUAAUUAUAAAUGGGGAGUAGGUUAGGUUUUUAUUUGUACCCUUUGUUUAUUGAAUAAAGAGAGUUUCAUAAACUGAUA